GCAUCGAUAGCUCAGUGGCAGAGCGGUGGGGCGUUUACCCAUGCGGCCCGGGUUCGAUCCCCGGUUGACAUG
Non-coding RNA from Phthorimaea operculella (potato tuberworm), 72 nucleotides. The record is from the annotation of a GenBank genome assembly. Lineage: Eukaryota; Metazoa; Arthropoda; Insecta; Lepidoptera; Gelechiidae.